GGCUGGGUGCUGGGCAGGUGGGCACUGGGGUUGGGUGCUGGGCAGGUGGGUGGUGGGUGCUGGGUGCCGGGCCUGAGCAUUGGACAGUUAGACACUCGGGCUGGGUGCUGGGCAGGUGGGUGCUGGGUGCCGGGCUUGGGCAUUGGGCAGUUAGAUACUGGAGCUGGGUGCUGGGCACUGAGUGCUGGCCAGUGGGCACUGGGGCUGCAGCUGGACAGUGGGACAGGGAGCUCGGCAGUGGACACUGUGUGUGUAGGCACCAAUGCCAGGCACUGGGACUGGGCUGGUGAGCGCUGGGGGCUGGGCACUGGGUGGAAGGUCAUUGAGGGCAGGGUUCUGGGAAGUUGGACUUUGGGGCUGGGCACUGGGUGGGUGAUCACUGAGUAUGCACCAGGGCUGCGUGCUGGGUGGUGUGUACUAUGGCUGGGUGCUGGUCAAGGGGGCGCCAGGGUCUGGUACUGGAUGGAUGGACACUGGGCACUUGGGCACUGAGCGGGUGGGCAUUAGGACUAGGCACUGGACCAGUGGACACUGGGGCUUGAGCUAAGUAGGUGGGCACUCGGGUGCCGGGUGCUCGGGGCCUGGGCACUGAGGGUGGGUGGGUGGGUGGGCUCGGGGCUAGAUUCUUGCAGCAGAGACCCACCUUGGAGUGGUGUCCCAGGACUCAUGUCAUCUGCCCCAUGCCCAGGAUCCCCGGGCCAUGCCCAGCUGCCCACCCUAGGCCAGCCCAUUAGCUUGUUUCCAUCCUAGCAGCCCCUGCUGUGCCCAGGACCUCCGUGGACCCUCCUUCAAGCUGCUGAUGGCCUGGUGGGGAGGUGCACGGGGCAGAAUGGCCUGGCAAUCAGCUGGGGCCACCUGGGUCCCACUG
Erinaceus europaeus (western European hedgehog) is the source of this 868-nucleotide long non-coding RNA. RefSeq lists it as uncharacterized. The record is from RefSeq and is a predicted model, not a curated record. The transcript is spliced from 3 exons. NCBI's taxonomy places the organism in Eukaryota, Metazoa, Chordata, Mammalia, Eulipotyphla, Erinaceidae.